GGGUAAGUCUUGUACGAUCUGCUCCCUUUUAACUCCCCCAGGACAGGAAUGUAGCAAGGGUACAUUGGUUGUAGCGAUGCGAUAUAAGUAGCUUGCCCUUU
RNAcentral lists this signal recognition particle RNA (101 nucleotides) under Bacteroidales bacterium. Its description in RNAcentral is "signal recognition particle sRNA small type". It matches the Rfam family "Bacteroidales small SRP". From Rfam's summary of the family: The non-coding component of the signal recognition particle in Bacteroides Lineage: Bacteria; Pseudomonadati; Bacteroidota; Bacteroidia; Bacteroidales. The record is from RNAcentral.